GAGGGCACAGGUCAGUGGUGGAGCAUGUGCCUAGCAUGCACAAGGUCCCGGGUUCAAUCCCCAGUGCCUCCA
RNAcentral lists this transfer RNA (72 nucleotides) under Camelus ferus (Wild Bactrian camel). It matches the Rfam family "tRNA". From Rfam's summary of the family: Transfer RNA (tRNA) molecules are approximately 80 nucleotides in length. Their secondary structure includes four short double-helical elements and three loops (D, anti-codon, and T loops). Further hydrogen bonds mediate the characteristic L-shaped molecular structure. tRNAs have two regions of fundamental functional importance: the anti-codon, which is responsible for specific mRNA codon recognition, and the 3' end, to which the tRNAs corresponding amino acid is attached (by aminoacyl-tRNA synthetases). tRNAs cope with the degeneracy of the genetic code in two manners: having more than one tRNA (with a specific anti-codon) for a particular amino acid; and 'wobble' base-pairing, i.e. permitting non-standard base-pairing at the 3rd anti-codon position. Lineage: Eukaryota; Metazoa; Chordata; Mammalia; Artiodactyla; Camelidae. The record is from Rfam by way of RNAcentral.